This 823-nucleotide ribosomal RNA is filed under the name Ancyrocephalus pseudorasborae. RNAcentral describes it as "partial large subunit ribosomal RNA". It matches the Rfam family "Eukaryotic large subunit ribosomal RNA", at positions 44 to 645 of the family's 3401-position model. Lineage: Eukaryota; Metazoa; Platyhelminthes; Monogenea; Dactylogyridea; Ancyrocephalidae. The record is from RNAcentral.
CAGUAAGCGGAGGAAAAGAAACUAACCAGGAUUCUCCCAGUAACGGCGAGUGAACGGAGAUUAGCCCAUCACCGAAGUCCAUUCACUUUUGUGGACAGGACAAUGUGGUGUUAAGGCGUGCAUCUGGGAUCGCUAGCCUACUCGAAGUCCAACUCCGAUUCUGGCUUGGACUUAGCCCAUAGCGGGUGAAAGGCCCGUGCGGGUAGGCUGUGUGUUUAAGCGGUCCUCAGACGUGCAUGCUUUCGAGUCGGAUUGCUUGAGAAUGCAGUCCAAAGUGGGUGGUAAACUCCAUCCAAGGCUAAAUACUGGCACGAGUCCGAUAGUAGACAAGUACCGUGAGGGAAAGUUGAAAAGUACUCUGAAGAGAGAGUAAAUAGCACGUGAAGCCGCUUGCAGGGAAGCUGGUGGAGUCAAGCUUCUUGUCUGUGGGAUUGUCAGCAGAGUGUGAUUGUUAUUGGACGUGGCCCUGGUGAGCCUGGAAACGGUUUGGCGCAUCCGUGUGCUUCAAGUCAUUCCGGGUAGAGUGUUUGUGCCGGGGCCUAUCUCCUUGCUCUGUUGAUUUAUUCCGCUGGACAUACAUCACGGUCGAUAAUGCAUUCGUACUGUGUGAUCGCUUAACUGUGCUUUGGCGGGCAUCCGUGUCUGCUAGGUGCGGGAAGGCAGGUGGUGCAUGUCGUGCUCUGCAUGACACUGCGCUUAUAGUGGUUUCGACCUGCUAGUGAUCACGCCCAUACCAGUAUCGACAUUAUCGUCUCUCGAAGGGUGCGCAGUUUACGGACUGUGUGCCGGUCAGAACCGUGAUGCUGAGGUAGACCUUCCACCC